CGGCAUGCUUUACACAUGCAAGUCGAACGGCAGCACGGGAGCAAUCCUGGUGGCGAGUGGCGAACGGGUGAGUAAUAUAUCGGAACGUGCCCGGUCGUGGGGGAUAACGUAGCGAAAGCUACGCUAAUACCGCAUACGAUCUACGGAUGAAAGCGGGGGAUCGCAAGACCUCGCGCGAUUGGAGCGGCCGAUAUCAGAUUAGGUAGUUGGUGAGGUAAAGGCUCACCAAGCCGACGAUCUGUAGCUGGUCUGAGAGGACGGCCAGCCACACUGGGACUGAGACACGGCCCAGACUCCUACGGGAGGCAGCAGUGGGGAAUUUUGGACAAUGGGCGCAAGCCUGAUCCAGCAAUGCCGCGUGCAGGAUGAAGGCCUUCGGGUUGUAAACUGCUUUGUACGGAACGAAACGGUGAGCUCUAAUACAGUUUGCUAAUGACGGUACCGUAAGAAUAAGCACCGGCUAACUACGUG
RNAcentral lists this ribosomal RNA (471 nucleotides) under uncultured bacterium. RNAcentral's name for it is "bacterial SSU rRNA". It matches the Rfam family "Bacterial small subunit ribosomal RNA", at positions 40 to 507 of the family's 1533-position model. The record is from RNAcentral.